Passer montanus (Eurasian tree sparrow) is the source of this 366-nucleotide long non-coding RNA. RefSeq lists it as uncharacterized. Lineage: Eukaryota; Metazoa; Chordata; Aves; Passeriformes; Passeridae. The transcript is spliced from 3 exons. The record is from RefSeq and is a predicted model, not a curated record.
GUUUUGUUAAGGAUUUCCUGGCGUUUUGCUUCAGCUGGAAGGCAGACUCCUUUUAACUCCAGUUACAGUCAGAUAUGUCAGCUAUUUCCUUUUCCAGAGAUGAAAAAGCCUGGGCACAGGUAUUAGCAGCACAGGGAGCAAAGUGGUGGCAUCCUGGCCAGAUUCAACCAUGCUUCUGGAGGCAUUCUCUUCUGCAGACAAUGAUUUUGUCUGAGACAACAGGGUGGAAAGACAGAGCCAACCACUGCACAGAGAAAAGGACAGCACAGGGAGCACAGGCAGGAGGGGUGUCCAAUCCUGAUGCAAGCACUGUCCCAGGGACAUCACCACAUUGCCAAGCCAAGAAGGCUCCAGGCUGGGCAAGAG